This 232-nucleotide ribosomal RNA is filed under the name Thrips tabaci. RNAcentral describes it as "partial 28S ribosomal RNA". Lineage: Eukaryota; Metazoa; Arthropoda; Insecta; Thysanoptera; Thripidae. The record is from RNAcentral.
CCAGCUACUAGAUGGUUCGAUUAGUCUUUCGCCCCUAUACCCAGCUCUGACGAUCGAUUUGCACGUCAGAAUCGCUACGGGCUUCCAUCAGGGUUUCCCCUGACUUCACCCUGGCCAGGCAUAGUUCACCAUCUUUCGGGUACCAACAUGUGCGCUCAAGGUGCUGCUCUCCUCAAGAGGAUGAGCAGCCCCGGGGUUGCGGGAAGGCAUGGUUAGCACGACCAUCACCCCU